Molecule: long non-coding RNA, 683 nt
Filed under: Elaeis guineensis (African oil palm)
Lineage: Eukaryota; Viridiplantae; Streptophyta; Magnoliopsida; Arecales; Arecaceae
Description: long non-coding RNA (EGUI_LNC002021)
Source: RNAcentral
GAGAAAUGUACGAGGAAGAAAGGAAAAAGAUAGAGAAAUAAAUAGAGAUGAAAUGAGCCACCAUAGAAGAAAAAAAAUUGAUUAGAAAAAAAGAAGAGAAAAGAUGGGUUGCCGAUGAGAAAGGACAGAUAUGGAUGGAGGCCUCGUAGAGAGGUAUAACUCAUGCAUAGGUUUGGAGGAGAAAAAGAAUGAAAAGAAAAAGUGAAUAAAAAGAAAAAGGAAGAGGAAAAAGAGGCCACUGAUAAAAAAUAGAUUAGAGGAGGAAGACAAGAAAGAGAAGAGGAUAGAGAGAAUUAAAGGAGAGGAGGAAGGAUAGAUUAUCGGUGAAAAGGAGUGGAGGUAGAGGGAGACCGCCAUGGAAGGGGAUGGUUGAUGGGUGGCUUUGAAAAAAAAGAUAACGAGGAGGAGAAAUAGAUGAAGAGAAAGGAGAAGAGGUGGAAGAAUAGAUGGAGGUAGAGGGAGCCAUCAUGGAGGAGAAAAAAUAGAUGAAGAGGAAGAGGAGAGGAGGAAAGAGAAGGUAGAAAGAGGGACACUAGUAAUGGAGUAGGAGAGGAUCAAUCAGGAAAGGAGAAAAAAAAAGAGAGGAAGAAGUUGAAGAUAAAGAUAUUUUUAUUAUUUUAUAAAAUAAUAAUAUUAUGUGAUUGUCACGUGAUAUCAUUUCAUCAACGGAGAUAGAUGACUGG